Mus musculus (house mouse) is the source of this 1688-nucleotide RNA transcript. It is a transcript of the gene named sulfatase modifying factor 2, with no coding region annotated. NCBI's taxonomy places the organism in Eukaryota, Metazoa, Chordata, Mammalia, Rodentia, Muridae. The record is from RefSeq and is marked validated. The transcript is spliced from 10 exons.
AGACGCAUGCGCUCUGAGUUCUGGUUCCCCAGCAUGGGUUCCUUGCUCCCUCCGGUGUUGCUGCUGUGGCUCCUGUCCUGCCCCAGGCUUCAGCUAGGACAUGCCCAGGAUCCUGCCAUGGUGCAUCUGCCAGGUGGCCGGUUUCUGAUGGGGACAGACGCUCCAGAUGGCAGAGACGGUGAAGGGCCUGCCCGGGAAGUGACAGUAAAACCCUUUGCCAUCGACAUAUUUCCAGUCACCAAUAAAGACUUCAGGGAGUUUGUCAGGGAGAAGAAGUACCAGACUGAAGCCGAGGCAUUCGGGUGGAGCUUCGUCUUUGAGGAUUUUGUCUCCCCUGAGCUCAGAAAGCAAGAAAAUCUGAUGCCGGCUGUUCACUGGUGGCAGCCAGUGCCAAAGGCAUUUUGGAGGCAGCCCAGGUUCCUCCUUCCUCAACCUUCCGAGUGCUGGAAAUCCAGCCUGCAGGUCCCGGCUCUGGCAUCCGAGAGAAACUGGAGCUUCCCGUGGUACACGUGAGCUGGAACGACGCUGGUGCUUACUGCGCAUGGCGGGGGAGACGCUUGCCCACAGAAGAGGAGUGGGAGUUUGCAGCCCGAGGGGGCUUGAAGGGUCAGGUUUAUCCAUGGGGGAACCGGUUCCAGCCAAACCGCACCAACUUAUGGCAGGGAAAGUUCCCCAAAGGUGACAAAGCUGAAGAUGGUUUUCAUGGACUGUCACCAGUGAACGCUUUCCCCCCACAGAACAACUACGGACUGUAUGACCUCAUGGGCAAUGUGUGGGAGUGGACAGCGUCCACAUACCAACCUGCUGGCCAGGACAUGCGUGUCCUCCGGGGGGCAUCAUGGAUCGACACCGCAGACGGCUCUGCUAAUCACAGGGCUCGGGUCACCACCAGGAUGGGAAACACUCCAGACUCAGCCUCAGACAACCUGGGCUUCCGCUGCGCCUCCAGUGCAGGCCGACCGAAGGAGGACCUGUGAGCAGCCAGACCGAGAUCUCCGAAGCACCCUCUCAGCACUGUACCUCCGUGACCAUGUUCCAGAGGCAGCUGGCUACCAAGCUCAUGCGUCUGAGGGUGGCCUUUUGAGCCCCUCCCCUCUGACAGACACAAAGAACACUCGGACUGCAAGAAGGGACUGCAGUAGCCUGGAAGAUGAGGACCUGGAUGACCAAGGCUGGGAGCUGGGCUGUCUCUUAAGUGCAGUAUUAAGGACAAAGGAACCAAACCCUCCAGUGUCCAAAAGAUGACAUUUUUUAAACUCUCUCCCUUUUUGCUUUCUCCCUGGCUGGUUCAGCUUUCACUUCUGGGAAAUUCUGCAGAAGGAAAAUGCUUCCUUUGUGAGGUGUGCCAAAGCCUUGCUGCCAGAACCUAGCCUCGCUGGCCUCUGAAACGAGAUACUCAAUAUGUGGCAAGGCUGGUCUCGAACUCUCGAUCCUCCUACCUCAGCUUCCUGGGUCCUGCUGGGAUUACACACCACGCCCACUAUUUAAAAGCCCCAGUAAAGCAAAUGAUUUAUGAAGUGAAGAUGUGCAUUGUGGGAGAACCAAAGUCAGUGCCCCUCUAGGAAGACAAAUGCCAGAACCUUCUCUGAGAGUUAGCUAAUCAUGUAGGGCCUUCUGUGUAUCCUGCAGACAUGUCCCUGAAGAAGAACUGGAUCUUAUGAGGUCAAUAAAUCCUUUUUUUUUUUUAA